AUUGAACGCUGGCGGCAGGCCUAACACAUGCAAGUCGAGCGGAUGAGAGGAGCUUGCUCCUCGAUUCAGCGGCGGACGGGUGAGUAAUGCCUAGGAAUCUGCCCAGUAGUGGGGGACAACGUUUCGAAAGGAACGCUAAUACCGCAUACGUCCUACGGGAGAAAGUGGGGGAUCUUCGGACCUCACGCUAUUGGAUGAGCCUAGGUCGGAUUAGCUAGUUGGUAGGGUAAAGGCCUACCAAGGCGACGAUCCGUAACUGGUCUGAGAGGAUGAUCAGUCACACUGGAACUGAGGCACGGUCCAGACUCCUACGGGAGGCAGCAGUGGGGAAUAUUGGACAAUGGGCGCAAGCCUGAUCCAGCCAUGCCGCGUGUGUGAAGAAGGCCCUCGGGUCGUAAAGCACUUUAAGUUGGGAGGAAGGGCUUACAGCGAUUACCUGUGAGUUUUGACGUUACCGACAGAAUAAGCACCGGCUAACUUCGUGCCAGCCGCCGCAGUAA
This 500-nucleotide ribosomal RNA is filed under the name uncultured bacterium. RNAcentral describes it as "partial 16S ribosomal RNA". It matches the Rfam family "Bacterial small subunit ribosomal RNA", at positions 30 to 523 of the family's 1533-position model. The record is from RNAcentral.